Molecule: long non-coding RNA, 1331 nt
Organism: Lontra canadensis (Northern American river otter)
Lineage: Eukaryota; Metazoa; Chordata; Mammalia; Carnivora; Mustelidae
Exons: 3
Source: RefSeq, a predicted model, not a curated record
UAGAGAGUGGGUGGAGAAGCAUUUCAAUAGAUGAGAGCAGGUAUGUAGUUGUUUUGCCGAAACUGCAGAGCUACCCUAAACUUUUGACUAUUGGUAAGCAGGGAAAUACAGCUACAAGCAGAUGGAUGACUGCUCCUGAAAAAGAGUCCAUGAGGAAGAGGCAUGCCAUGCAAUGCCAGCCAUGCCAUGCCAUGGGAGGCUAUAAGGGCUGCUCGGAGCAUUUGGGCACAAGGCCACAGAGACUCGACCCCCCGGUUUGCGGAUUCCAUUUGGUCCGGAAAUGCCAGGCAGAGCCCCGACUUGCACUCGCAUGAGGGAUCUGGGCAGUGUUUGACUGUCGGUCCAUUGGAGAUGGAGUCCUCCCUCUGCAGAGCAGGGGGACUCCAGUAUUAACAUUCAGCAUGAGUCACUGCUGCCGUUUUUCCCCCGAGAACCUUCCCCCUUCUUCCUGAGUCUCCAUCCAGCCCUCUGAGCCAGAAUGAGGCAGACUGAGGAUCUGACGCCAAGUAGGCCCAGGAUGGUAAGGGACAGGAUCCUUGCCAAGGCCGGUGGUUGGACCCCACCACUCGGAAGCAGCCAGAUUCCUUACAGGGGUUAGAAAUGAGAACGAGGAGCCAUUCUGACUUCAGUUUUGACAAUUUUUUGUAAACGAGCAAUUAGCGAGGGCUUACCAUAUGCCACACUCUUUGCAAAGACUUCACAGUGUUAAUUUUAGCCUCUCAACAGCCAUAUGAAGGAAGUACUAUUAUUAUCAUCCGUAUUUAAAAGCACGUGUCAGAGAUUGUGUCUUGAUCCCUGACAUUCUCAGCUCACCCUGCAGAAGCUGGAAGCUUGGAAACUACAUUUCCCAAAUUCUACUGCCAGUGCCACUCCAGUUUAGAUAUCACCAAUGAGAGAAGCACACAUGAAAUUUGGCAGAAGAGAGGCCAUUAUCUGCAAGGUGCAGCCAGGAGGAUGGGCACAGGUAUCUCCAAAAGACAGACCAAGACUCUGCCAGCUCUUUCUGACAAUUGUGGACAGUCCUGCCUCAGGCAAAGUCACCAGCAAUGAUUUCUAGCAAUUUCUUUAACUUCUCGGGAUCCUGAAAAAAAGUGGUGCUUUUCCCCGACCUUCCCUCAGACAGCCUUUCUAAUGAUUCUGGAAGCAUCAAUUCCCUUUGUAAAAUCCACCCUCCUGUUUGAAACACCUUGAACACUCUGUUUCCACGACUGAGCUCCAGCUAACACAGCAGUGGGUUCCAGAAUUGUUUUCCGAAACCAAAACCUCAGUGAGGAUGAGAAUCUGGAAUGGUUAACUGCCCUGGCCAGAUUUAGAGUUAGAACUGGCCUCAC